AGAGUUUGAUUCUGGCUCAGGAUGAACGCUAGCGGCAGGCCUAAUACAUGCAAGUCGAACGGGGUAGCAAUACCUAGUGGCGGACGGGUGCGUAACACGUAUGCAACCUACCCAUGAGUGAGGGAUACCGGCUUGAAAGGGCCGUUAAUACCGCAUGAUGCAGCGGGCCCGUUAGGGGCAUGAGUUGUUAAAGCUGCAAGGCGCUUAUGGAUGGGCUUGCGUCUGAUUAGUUAGUUGGCGGGGUAACGGCCCACCAAGACGACGAUCAGUAACUGGUCUGAGAGGAUGAUCAGUCACACUGGCACUGAGACACGGGCCAGACUCCUACGGGAGGCAGCAGUAGGGAAUAUUGGGCAAUGGGCGCAAGCCUGACCCAGCCAUGCCGCGUGAGGGAUGAAGGAGCUUCGCUUCGUAAACCUCUUUUAAUUGGGACUAAGGGGUUUGUAACUCAAGCCAUUGCAGGUACCAAAGGAAUAAGGACCGGCUAACUACGUGCCAGCAGCCGCGGUAAUACGUAGGGUCCAAGCGUUGUCCGGAUUUACUGGGUUUAAAGGGUGCGUAGGCGGCUGUUUAAGUCGGUGAUGAAAUGCGGGGGCUUAACCUUUUGCGCUGUUACCGAUACUGGACGGCUGGAGAUAGCGUAAGGCAGCUGGAAUAAGUGGUGUAGCGGUGAAAUGCGUAGAGAUCACUUAGAACACCGAUUGCGUAGGCAGGUUGCUGGCGCUGAUCUGACGCUGAGGCACGAAGGCAUGGGGAUCAAACAGGAUUAGAUACCCUGGUAGUCCAUGCAGUAAACGAUGGAUACUAGCUAUUUGGGAUGUAAGUCUUGAGUGGCCAAGCGAAAGUGAUAAGUAUCCCACCUGGGAAGUACGCCCGCAAGGGUGAAACUCAAAGAAAUUGACGGGGGCCCGCACAAGCGGUGGAGUAUGUGGUUUAAUUCGAUGGUACGCGAGGAACCUUACCUGGGCUAGAAUGCGCGCGACCGGCUCAGAGAUGGGUUUUCCCCGCAAGGGGCGCAAAGCAAGGCGCUGCAUGGCUGUCGUCAGCUCGUGCCGUGAGGUGUUGGGUUAAGUCCCGCAACGAGCGCAACCCCUGUGAUUAGUUGCCAGCGCGUAACGGCGGGGACUCUAAUCAGACUGCCUUCGUAAGGUUGAGGAAGGGGGGGACGACGUCAAGUCAUCAUGGCCCUUACGCCCAGGGCUACACACGUACUACAAUGGUCGGUACAAAGGGCAGCAAGACCGCGAGGUGGAGCGAAUCCCAAAAAGCCGAUCUCAGUUCGGAUUGGAGUCUGCAACUCGACUCCAUGAAGUUGGAAUCGCUAGUAAUCGCGUAUCAGCAACGACGCGGUGAAUACGUUCCCGGGCCUUGUACACACCGCCCGUCAAGCCACGGAAGCUGGGGGCGCCUGAAGUCGGGGGACCAAAUCCCUGCCGAGGGCGAAACUGGUAACUGGGGCUAAGUCGAAACAAGGUA
RNAcentral lists this ribosomal RNA (1476 nucleotides) under metagenome. Its description in RNAcentral is "bacterial SSU rRNA". It matches the Rfam family "Bacterial small subunit ribosomal RNA". The record is from RNAcentral.